AUUGAACGCUGGCGGCAGGCCUAACACAUGCAAGUCGAGCGAGCGGCGGACGGGUGAGUAAUGUAUGGGGACUGCCCGAUAGAGGGGGAUAAAUUCUGGAAACGGUAGCUAAUACCGCAUACUAUCGGAUAACCCAUAUGGGAUGAGCUAGUAGGUGAGGUAAUGGCUCACCUAGGCGACGAUGCCUAGCGGGUCUGAGAGGAUGAUCGGCCACACUGGGACUGAGACACGGCCCAGACUCCUACGGAGGCAGCAGUGGGGAAUAUUGCGCAAUGGGCGAAAGCCUGACGGAGCCACGCCGCGUGUAUGAAGAAGGCCCUAGGGUCGUAAAGUACUUUCAGUCGGGAAGCGGUACCGAAACAGGAAGCACCGGCUAACUACGUGCCAGCAGCCGCGGUAAUAC
RNAcentral lists this ribosomal RNA (403 nucleotides) under uncultured bacterium. RNAcentral's name for it is "partial 16S ribosomal RNA". It matches the Rfam family "Bacterial small subunit ribosomal RNA", at positions 29 to 526 of the family's 1533-position model. The record is from RNAcentral.